Molecule: ribosomal RNA, 497 nt
Filed under: uncultured bacterium
Lineage: Bacteria
Description: partial 16S ribosomal RNA
Rfam family: Bacterial small subunit ribosomal RNA
Source: RNAcentral
GACGAACGCUGGCGGCGUGCCUAAUACAUGCCAGUAGAACGCUGAAGAGAGGAGCUUGCUCUUCUUGGAUGAGUUGCGAACGGGUGAGUAACGCGUAGGUAACCUGCCUGGUAGCGGGGGAUAACUAUUGGAAACGAUAGCUAAUACCGCAUAAAAUUGAUUAUUGCAUGAUAAUUAAUUGAAAGAUGCAAUUGCAUCACUACCAGAUGGACCUGCGUUGUAUUAGCUAGUUGGUGAGGUAACGGCUCACCAAGGCGACGAUACAUAGCCGACCUGAGAGGGUGAUCGGCCACACUGGGACUGAGACACGGCCCAGACUCCUACGGGAGGCAGCAGUAGGGAAUCUUCGGCAAUGGGGGGAACCCUGACCGAGCAACGCCGCGUGAGUGAAGAAGGGUUUCGGAUCGUAAAGCUCUGUUGUAAGAGAAGAACGGGUGUGAGAGUGGAAAGUUCACACUGUGACGGUAUCUUACCAGAAAGGGACGGCUAACUACGUG